This 253-nucleotide ribosomal RNA is filed under the name uncultured bacterium. RNAcentral's name for it is "partial 16S ribosomal RNA". It matches the Rfam family "Bacterial small subunit ribosomal RNA", at positions 524 to 776 of the family's 1533-position model. The record is from RNAcentral.
UACGUAGGGUGCAAGCGUUGUCCGGAAUUAUUGGGCGUAAAGAGCUCGUAGGCGGUCAGUCGCGUCUGCUGUGAAAACUCGGGGCUUAACUCCGGGCCUGCAGUGGGUACGGGCUGACUAGAGUGAGGUAGGGGAGACUGGAAUUCCUGGUGUAGCGGUGAAAUGCGCAGAUAUCAGGAGGAACACCGGUGGCGAAGGCGGGUCUCUGGGCCGUAACUGACGCUGAGGAGCGAAAGCGUGGGGAGCGAACAGG